UCCAUUCCUGUCUGAGGCAUGUUUAUGCAAUCACCUUAUUGCAUAAAUAUUUGUAUUUCCCAGAUGAAGUGAGUUAUAUCCUUAAUGUAACACUAGUGUUACAUUACAUCUUAGUAAUCUAUAUCAUAAAUGAAGAACUUUUAGAAAGUUUUACUUUUCAAAGUAAGGUCUAUACAGCCACUUUAAGCAGUGACUUAAGCAGAUAGUUUGGCCCAAUGGCGAGAAAGUACUACAGGAAUUUCUGGUUCGAAACCCGGCUCAAGCAAGUCUUUAAACAUUAUUCAGAAGAAAGAUUGCUUCAGCUGUCUCAAGUGCUUAAGCUACUUUCAGUAAUUCUUCAGCAAUACAUUUAGCAUGGAAGCAUUCACUGUGCAUUUUCUAUGGAAAUGCUUUAUCUAGUUAUUAUUUUAGUUCUUCCGUACGUUUAUCCGCACCUAACUACUCCUGCAUCCUUUGAGCUACAAAAAACAUUCCAAUAUCAAAAUGUUCAGCUUUUUAAGUGUGCUAUUAUUUUUCUCAUUCAUAAGUUUCAUAUUUUUCAAGUUAUUAAACUUUUUUCAACUUUUUUUCCCCAUUGAAAUGAAUGGAAGAGGGAUUUCAAAUCCUCUUCAACUUUGUCUACUUUCAGCUUUAACUACUUCAACACACUUAAAGCUACAGACACCAUUUAAACUGCAAAACAAUCUUCAACUAUUCAACUAUUAAUGUCUUGUUUAGCUUCUCGAUAUCUUUAACAGAUUCUGAGUUAUAGCAGUUUAAGCAUAGGGUGUUUUUUUAGGAAUUCUCGGCUUUUCCAUUGGUGUGUAUUGCAUCUAGUUGAGUGGGAGAUUUCACAGCUAGAGCCUUGGGAUUCAUAAAGUGAAGUUAUUUUUGUGAUAAUCUUUAUGGUUUUGGUGUAACAAGCCUGUUAACCUGGUUUGGAAAUCAGCCUUACUCCAGCUCUUUGUGCUGAGCAGUGGAGGUUCCUGCCUGUGGAGCCCUUACAAGUCACACUCUCUAUGCUCAGUGAACUGAUGAGUUCAUUGCACUGUUGAUUCCCCAUAAGAGCAGUUGUAGACAUUAAGCUUUUUCAAACUAUCUGGUCUUUCAUAUAGUUAUGGGGCAGCAUUCAACAAGCAUUCAACAAUAUAUGCAUAUUUAUAGCACAAUGCAUUGUGGGUGAUGCACCAUGACAGAACGUGGUGUUAAUAGGAGUGACCAUUGCAAUAAAUAAUGGACAAUCUUUGGAUUAGGCUCUUCAUACUGACACAAGAGAGUAAUCUUUAAAUUUAAAUGCAAUAUUUUUUUUAAUUUGUUUUAUAUUUUAAUUAAAUUAUUUUUUAAUCACAGACUGAUGUUAUGCUUCGUCCUUCUGCUAAUAUAGCAGAAAAGCAUUAUUGCAAUAUUUUGUAUUAAACUAUGCACAUUUGACCCAGGGUAAACCUUAAUUUACUUUACUACAGCAACAUUGAAAAAAAAAAAACAAUAAUGUAAGAGUUCCUCUUGCCAGACAAGAAGCAAGCAAGGCCAACUAACUAUAUGUAUAGUUAAAUCCGAUACUUAUCUAUAGGUUAAAUCAUUCAUGUCUCAGUUGCUCAGAUUAGACAAAGAACAAUUGCAACUCUAGGUAAGCUCCCUUUGUAUAAAGCAAGCCACAUUUGUUUUUCACACAUCUAACAAACUUUCUUGUUGAUGGUAACUCCCACACGCAAUCCCCUCACUCCACACAAAAAAGAACAAAAACAAAAAGAACACAUUACAACCAUACAUGAACGAGAUGCUAAAUUAAUUUUACCAAAGUUAUAAAAUUUUCUGAAUCCUAACUUUAACUAUAAGAGUACAAACACAAGAAAGUUUGUUUUACCCAGAAGCCUUAGCGGCUUAGGGUGGGACUAACUGCUGUGAGCCACUACAAUAUGUUAAACUUGAAAUUGCAACGAUUGAUCGUCGUUGGUACCUAACUCCUCCUACAUGCUUUGAGCUACAGAAACCGUUCAAAUAUCAAAAUGUUCAGCUUUUCAAGGAGAAGUGUGCUAUUAGUUUUCUUAGUCAUAUGUUUUAUACUUUUGGAAAUAUGAAGCUUUUUCUUUUCCCAAUAAAACAAAGUAGAUUUUUACCAUUGACACUAGGAUGUGUAAUGUUGCCAUGUAAGAUGAUCUCAGUUGGUCCUUUGGCUCAGUGGAUAAAAGCCUUGACUCUAAAGCCUACCAUCUCAGGUUCAAAUCCCAUGUAGGUGAAUUUAUUUACAGAAACAUACACCUCGAAUGUAAAGCAUUAGAAGGAAAUAAUAAUGGCUUAAAUUCAAGCGUUUUUGUUUCCUUUGUGCACAUACAGCUCUUUAAAAAAAAAAAAAACUUUAGAUAUAUUUAUUUUUGCAUUCAACUUUUCAGCUAUUUCAAACUAUGUUUUCAAUGUUUCAGCUACUUUCAGCAAUUCUUCAGCAAAACAUUCAGUUUAGUAGUUUUUCAUAUAGUAUGUAUAGUGAUGCUUAGAGUUCUACUCUCAACAGUUACUGUGGCUCAGUGGUUGAGUGUUUGACUCCGACCUUGAAUACUCUGGUUCGAGUCGUUUUCGAGGCAGCACUAAAUUCACAAAGUCAUAUAUUUUGCAUGAAAAUAUUUGGAAAAAAGUUCUAUAGAUAUAUGCAGCUGUGCAUUAAAUUCCUCAGGAGCUUCCAGCUGUUCCAGUGCUUUAGGGCAAUCACAAGGUGUGAAACUAACUUAUUGCAACAUAAACCUUUAAUGUAAUGGUUGUAAAGCAGUAGAAGUAAAUAGUAUUUCUUUACCUUAAAUUCAACCAUUUUUGUUUCCUUGGUGCACAUACAGCUCUUCUUGAAAAACUAAUCUUUAGAUAUAUUAAUCUAUGCAUUGAACUUUUCAGCUAUUUCAAACUAUGUUUUCAAUGUUUCAGACAUGCAUUGUCAGCAGCUACUGUAGCUCAGUGGUUAAGUGUUUCACUCUUAUCUUUUAGACUCUGGUUCAAAUCCUGACUAAGGCAUCAGUGAAAUCAUAUGUUGUUCAUGAAAUUAUUAUUGUUAUUAAAUGUAAUGUAGCCAUGUAAUCUACUUGCAGUAGCUCCUUUGGCUCAGUGGAUAAGGUGCUUCACUCUGAAGCCUACAGUUCCAUGUUCAAGUCCCACUUAGGGCAACAUCAAGAUGUAAAACUUAAAUGUUUACUGAACAACACACCUCUAAUGUAAUGGUUGUAAAGUAGAAUAUAUGACUCUGACGCGUGCAGUCUCAGGUUCAACUCCCAAUUGAGGCAACUGCAAGAUGUGAAAGUAAGUUGGUUAAGUGCUUGACUCUGAUGUGGUAGAUGCUGGUUCAAGUCCAGCCUAAGGCAGCUGUGAAUUUGUAUGUAUUGCAUGAAUUGUAUUGACACUAGGAUGUGUAAUGUAGCCAUUUGCGAUGGAUGCAGUAGCUCCUUUGGCUCAGUGGAUGAGGUGCUUGACUCUGAAGCCGACAGUCCCAUGUUCAAGUCCCACUUAGGACAACAGCAAGAUGUAAAACUUAGUUGUUUACAGAAACACACACCUCUAAUGUAAUGGUUGUAAAGUAGUAGAAGUAAAUAGUAAUUGCUUAUAUUAAAUUUAUGUUUUUUGUGCACAAACAGCUCUUUUCAAAAAAACUAAUCGUUAGAUAUAUUUACUAUGAAUUCAACUUUUCUGCUAUUUCAAACAAUGUUUUUAAUGUUUCAGCUACUUUCAGCAAUCCUUCAGCAAAACAUUCAGUUUAGUAGUUUUUCAAAUCAAACUGCUUAGUUGUACUGUCAGCAGUUACUGUGGCAUUGAAUCUGACUUUGAAGACUCUGGUUCCUGACUAAGGCAGCGGGGAAAUCAUAUGUAUUACAUGAAAUAAUUAAGAAUAUAUGCAAAACAGUUUUUUAGAUAUAUGCAGCUAUGCAUUCAAUUCCUCAGCUGCUUCUAGCUGUUUUAAGUGCUUAAGCUACUUUCAGCAAUUCUUCAGGAAUACAUUCAGCAUGGAAGCAUUCACUGUGCAUUUUCCUAUGGAAAUGCUUUAUCUAGUGUUAGCAUUGAUAUUUUCUUUUUACGUCCUUUCUACAAUCGUUGGCACCUAACUCCUCCUACAUGCUUUGAGCUACAGAAACUGUUCAUAUAUCAAAGUGUUCAGCUUUUUGAGGAGAAGUGUGCCAUUAGUUUUCUUAGUCAUAACUUUUUUACUUUUGGAAAUAUUAAGCUUUUUCUUCUCGCUAUGAAAACAAACAGGAUUUCUACCAUUGACUGUAGGAUGUGUAAUGCCGCCAUGACAAAAAUGGAAGUAGCUCCUUUGGCUCAGUAGAUAAGGUACUUGACUUUUAAGACUGCAGUCUCAGGUUCAAUUCCCAAUUGGGGCAACUGCAAGAUGUGAAACUAAGUUGUUCACAACAUAAACCUCAAAUGUAAAGCUUGUGUAGUAAUAAAUAUUAGUUUUUUACCUUAAAUUUCACCAUUUUUUUCCUUUGUGCACAUACAGUUCUCCUUGAAAAACAAAUCGUUAGAUAUAUUUAUCUAUGAAUUCAGCUUUUUAGCUAUUUCAAAGUAUGUUUUCAAUGUUUCAGACACUUUCAGCAAUCCUUCAGCAAAACAUUAAGUUUAGUAGUUUUUCAAAUAGUAUGUAUAGUGCUGCUUAGACUUGUUUUGCCUGCAAUUACUGUGGCUCAGUGGUCAAGUGUUUGACUCUCCCUGUGAAGACUCUGGUUCAAGUCCUGACUAAGGCACCAGUGAAAUUAAAAACUUUGCUUGAAAUGAUGAAGAAUAUAUGCAAAACAGAUUUUUAGAUAUAUGCAGCUAUGCAUUAAAUUCCUCAGCCGCUUUCAGCUGUUUUCAGUGCUUAUGCUGCUUUCAGCAAUUCGGCAAUAUGUUUGGCAUGUUUAUGCAAUCACACAAUUAUAUAAAUAUUUGUAUUUCCCAGAUAAAGUGAGCUAUAUGCUUAAUGCUCAAAUUAGUUAUAUGCUCAAAUUCCUUUCAAAAUAAAAGCACCAAUCUAAAUCUUUAGCCUAAAUAUCACUUUUCUGCAUUUGACUAGUUAAUUAUGACUAGUUACUGAAACUAUUUUACUGUUCAGCAAUUACCUGCACACAUUUACUUCAAACCUUUAAAUUUUAACAAUUUAAAUUCAAAUAUUUGUUCUGAAUCAAAUUUCAGCUGUUGUAAAUAUUUUCAAAACGUUAAGCUACUUAUUCAGCUCCUGAAAAUCAAAACUAUUUACUUACAAUAUUUAGCUAUUUUGAUACAGUUGGCUGUAUUUCAACUAACGAAGCAAACCUUUACACACUUCCUUGAUUUUCAGCAGUUCUUUAAUUUCAGCAAGUUUCCUCCAUUUGAAACUGACUGUUGCAACUCUCAAGUCUUUGUUUAAUAAAAUAAACACGUGAAAAAGACAAAGGAGUUCUUUUCAUCUAGAGGACACUCUUCAGCCAAGUCAUGCUGCAGCUGUUAUGUCCAGUAGCUCAAUGGAUUAAGUCCUUGACUCUGGAGUGGGAGAUUCAAUACCUGCAUUUCCCAGAUAAAGUGAGUUUUAUCUGUAUUGCUGUAUUAGUAAUCAAUAUCAUAAAUGAAGAACUUUUAGAAAGUUUUAGUUUUUGAGGUAGGAUCUACACAGCCACUCUUAACAGAAAAUUAAGCAGACAGUUUGGCCCAGUGGCAAGACGGCAUGGCCCAUAAUGUUGGCGUUCAUGGUUCGAAACCUGUCUUGAAUCUUACUUCUUCAGAAGAAAGAUUUAAACCACUGUUGUCAUGAGUAUUUGACUCUGAUAUUGCAGACUCUGGUAAGGCAGUAGAAAAAUCACAAAAUUAUAUAUAUUGCAUGAAAGUAUUAUGCAUAUAUGCAAAACAGAUAUUUAGAUAUAUGCAGCUAUGCAUUCAAUUCCUCACUUCCUCCACUACUUCAAGGAGAAGUGUGCUAUUAGUUUUCUUAGUCAUAUCUUUUAUACUUUUGGAAAUAUGAAGCUUUUUCUUCUCUCUAUUAAAACAAACUAGAUUUUUUCCAUUGACGCUAGGAUGUGUAAUGUAGCCAUGUAAACCCAUCAGUAGCUACUUGGCUCAGUGGAUAAGGGCCUUAACUCUGAAGCAUAAAGUCUCAGGUUCAAAUCACAAGUAGGGCAACAGCAAGAUGUAAAACUCAGUUGUACAGUCGUAGCACUUCAAAGCGACCACCUUUUUUACCGCAGUACGUGCGCGUCGCCAGCGCGCCACGGGUGCGUCCCCGACUAAGGAUUUUUAAUCCUGCAGCCACCUGAAAAAAAUCAGGGUGCUAGUCUCGUGUUAACCACCAGUUGGCGCAAAGAUGGGAGGUCCAAUUGUUAAUUCCUAUCUGUGUCUGCACAUUAAGCACAAAAAACGAUGUCAUGGAAUUGUAUCAUUAAAUAUAGAGUAGUUCAUUUUUAAAUAUUAUAGAUUAUUAUGCGUCUUUGCUCGCUAGUGUGGGCUAGUGUUUGUUGUCAAUUGCCGAAGCUGCUGAUGUUUUUACAGUUUCCAGGCCGGCCGAGAGACACAGUCCCUCCUUCAGCCAAUCCAAUAGAAUAAUAUAAGUAUAAUAACAUAAAAUAGGAAUCUAUAUUUAUUCAUCAAUCUGUGUUAUAAAUGUAUUUUAUAUGUAUAUUUAUACUCGUCUUCUGGUUUGUUGAUCAUGAGGAAAAAAUAAAAAACAAACUUGGUUUUCGUUUCAGCUCGUAUUAUUAAUUAAGGGAAUUCAAGUGUUGUUUUUUUCGACACAACGCACGGAGUUGGAUUUAAAGCUGAUUUUUCGUUUUGAGAAAAAAGCAGACAACGAAAAACUAAUUCUAUAAUGACCUAUAGUUUGCUCUGAUUCUGAAUAAAACGUAAGAGCCUGAAUGACAGAUGAUGUGUCCAGGUAGAGCUUAACCGGAAAUGUAUGACAGUGAUGUGACGUUCCAACGAUGGUGCUGAGGAGCCGCUUAUUCAUAGGCAGAUGACUUGGAUCAAGUUGUCAAUACGCGCUAGUGUUUGUUGUCAGUUGCUGAUGUCGCUGCUGUCUUUAUACAGUAUGUCCUUGUGUUUAAGUGUCGGGUCCGUGUACGUUUUAACGGUUUGAUUUUCCCCUCCAGAAUAAAAGCUGGGAAGACGAGAAAACACGUUGUUGUAGAACAUUUUGAACCCGGAGGACCUGUUAAUGUGUGUGGACACGCUCCCAGUAAGUCCAGUAACUUCGUGUUGUAACGAGAAACCCCCAGCAUCUCGUUUAAAAAGGACAAACGGCAUUUAUUCAAAGCAGCGUGUUAAAAACGAAUAAACGAGCUGAAAACGGUGUUUUCAAAACCAGACACAUUAAUGGAUUUAAAGUCGUUUCCUUUUUUCUCGUUUUGGGGAAAAACGAAUCGACUGUGGCAUUGGAGCAUUUUGCCAGAAUGAGCUUUGCAGAGAAAGGACACUUGGUUUCCAAACCACGACCUAAUCAUCCCCUCAAACGCCACGUUUGGGGAAUGAUUUCUAGGUGGGCACCAGGACCGAUGAUUAUUUUCGAGGGGAUUAUGGAUAGACAGUUUUUCGAGGAGUCCAUAAUCAAACGCACAGUGGGUCCAUAUAUUAGAAAGUAUUUUGAAACACGACAUCGUUUUUUCCAGGACAAUGACCCCAAACUUGUCGCUGCAAGAGCCUGUCUGGAGGCGGAAUGAAUCAGCUGCGUGCGCACACCGGCAGAGUCCCCUGAUCUGAUCCCAGUUGGAAGCUGCAUUAUUAUACUUUACCGUAAUGACAUUUACCACAAUAUCUGCAGAAAAACAGUGUUUUAUUACACAGGCAAUACAGUGCAUUUGGAACUCGCUUCGCGCAAGUUACGGCGUCUGAUGCUGAUUCAGUUCCAAAAGCAAACUUCGAACCCCAUCCCCUACUACAUAUUGGCACAGAGACAUUAAAAUAUUGUCUCCACUCGGUCAAUAGGUGUAAAAUACCGAGACAAAGAAAAGCUCCAUGGGAGAUCGGGCGCGUGAUCACUGCACCUACGUAGCUGUGAGACGCCAAAACCUUUCACUGGACUUUUUUUAAAACGCUCUUCUUAUGGUAUUUCACGUCCCAGAGCAGGGACACUGGGGGAAGGGGAAACACACAUCAACACGCAGGACAAAGAUCUGCGUUUCUCUGCUGCUACAGCCUCGGCUGCGUUGGGUUGUUAGUCUCCCUUUCACCUGUACCAUAUGAAAUGUGUUCCUACGAAGUUGAUCAGCCGCUUUCACAAUCAGAAUCGUUUUUAUUCCCCAGGUUUGAACAGGGCAAACAUUAUUUUUAUUUACAAAAAAAAAAAUAAAAUGUUCACAUGUGAUUUGCCCGCUUUGAUGUAGACAAAACUCUUCAAAGCGUUUUACUUUACAUCCCGUUUGUUUCGUUAUUCCCACUUUUAUAUCUGUCUGAUAAAUAAAAGUGGGCGGGGCUAUCAGUCCCGUUGUAAAGGUAAGCGCUGACUGUGGGGGUGGGCGCAUCAACAUACAGGACAAAGACCUGUGAGAGAUUAUAUACCCCACUUUCGAUCAACUUUGUUUUUGACAGCUCUAGGUCAAAGGUCACUUGAUCUUUUCACCGUUGAACUUGCCAUGUUAGAGUGCACUUGAUCUUCAACCUCGAAUGUUAAAGUGCACUUGAACUUUAACACCGAAAGUCAAAGUGUACCUGUUCUUUGAACCCGAGAGUCAUAGGUCCGCUGAACUUUAAUCCACCGUGUUAAAGGGCGAUGUGAUCAUCGAACGCCAGUAUGUAUGCAGAUAUAUUAUAUAUAUGAGCCAGUGGUGCUUUCUGUGUAUCCUUCUUUAGACUGUGCUCUCUGUAUCACUGGGGUGUCGCAUUCCUCUGCGUGUGUAUCUGAGUUCACAGGCCUGCGGUGGCCUGGUAUCCUUCUACAGUCCUCCUUCCCCCGUCUGGAUUUAUGCGUCAAGUCGGCCCUGCGUUGUUUUAGAAAGAACAGGUUUUGAAACAAAUGCAUAUGCAGUAUUAGAGUGCACUGCUGGUGUACAACAGCAACAUCCGCCACAUGUAUGCAAUGAAGCACACACACACACACACACACACACGCGGUGUAAUAGGGGAAAAAAUCAUUCUCACCCCCUUAAGGUUCGGUCGCACAUUAAGCGCCGACAUUUAAUGUUGUGUUUGACCGACCAAUUGUUUAUGGUCCGCGUCUGCCUUUUACCCCCGGUCUCUGGCUAUUUCCUAUAUGAUCCCUCAACAGACUCAAAGUCAUAAACCUGAUUAGGCCUCAAGUGGGCCUGCGUUGUUUUAGAAAGUACAGAUUUUGAAACAAAUGCAUAUGCAGUAUUAGAGUGCGCUGCUGGUGUACAACAGCAACAUCUGCAACUUGCAAAGCAUAUACCCUUACAUCGAUGAUAGUCCUCUGUGCUGUUGGUCAGAGGAGUCCUCUCGGUCUGCAGUCAUACGGCAUUUUCGGCACACACACACACACACACACACACACACACACACACACACACACACACACACACACAAACGCACGCACGUGCGCACACACACACACACACACACACACACACACACACACACACACACACACACACACACACACACACACGCUGUAAUAGAGGGAAAGAGAUCAUUCAACUUAACUCAACAAACAACCUCUCACCCCCCUUAAGAUUCUGUCGCCCCUUAAGCGCCGACAUUUAAUGUUGUGUUUGACUGACCAAUUAUUUAUGGUCCGCAUCUGCUUUUUACCCUAUCUGAUCCCACAACCCCUAAAGUCAUAAAGCUAAUGCAUCACGUCUUUGAAACUCGGUGCCACAUCCCUUCUGACAGCAUGGCACCCUCACAUGUAGGAGUGAGAAUGUAAACAUCUUCACCCCCGGUGCAAUAAGACAAUUCCACCAGGCGCCGGGAGAACGGUUAAAAAACACAGCGCUAUAAUACUGAUCGAAACAUGAUUAUACAAAAAUACCGCUUUAACCCGUUACACCGCAGGAGUGUUCGGGGGAGCCCUCCUUGGAAAUAUUCCCCUUAAGAUUCUGACGCCCAUUAAGCGCCGACAUUUAAUGUUGUGUUUGACUGACCAAUUAUUUAUGGUCCGCAUCUGCUUUUUACCCUAUCUGAUCCCACAACCCCUAAAGUCAUAAAGCUAAUGCAUCACGUCUUUGAAACUCGAUGCCCCAUCCCUUCUGACAGCAUGGCUCCCUCGCAUGUAGGAGUGAGAAUGUAAACAUCUUCACCCCCGGUGCAAUAAGGCGAUUCCACCAGGCGCCGGGAGAACAGUUAAAAAACACAGCGUUAUAAUACCGAUCGAAACAUGAUAAUACAAAAAUACCGCUUUAACCCGUUACACCGCAGGAGUGUUCGGGGGGAGCCCUCCUUGGAAAUAUUAUGUUGUAACACUAUGUUGAUUUGUUAUGCGAAACAAGAGGUGUGAGGGUGUCCCCAGGGGCUGUUGUAAAACCAUUUGAUCAGUUUCUGGGUGACUUUUACGGAGAAACCUGGUAUAAAUAUAGGCGGAGUUGAAGCGUCAGAAUCGAACCCAGGCCUUCACGCUAGAUCCUCGUCGGACGUUGAAGCAGCGGUAUGAUUCGAGGUAAAGCUCCGAAGACUCUCAUUUCUUUGAUUCUCCUGAAAAUAUGCGCUAACAAAUUUCGUCCGCGUCAGCUCCUGCAUCUCAAGCCACAGCGUCGCCAGAGCCAACAAUUCCAACUGCAGUAUAGGCACCAGGCGGCUCAACAAGCAUUCAACGCCUUCCCAACCGGAGAGGCCCUUAGAUUCGUCGACGCUGAGAUCCAUCAGCCGCCACGGACCGAUCACAGUCUCGACGUAUUAGACGACGCUCUUCUGGAGGUGUCACCGGACCCCGGAGAGAUAUUUACUGCCGGCGAGUGCGUCGUCAAUGCGCCGCCAUCCACCGCGGAGCCGCCGCAGCAACCGCAAGAACAAAAAGAACAACAACAACAAGAACCGCGGAGCCCUGAAGAGGAGUGUCUAAUCGGCGAGCUGGAGCACGUGCUGUCCAGACAGCCGAGCGUGGAGCCUUCAACUUCCGAGAGCGGGGCCCCUGUGCUUCUAGCUGAGCAGCGCGUCCUGGAACAGGCGAGGCGAACCCCCGUGCGUCGUCCGGGGACUCCUCUUCCAAGGGGUCGUUCCGGUAAGUUUCUUUCUUUUUUUUUUUUUAAAGAGGGUUGUUUCUAUGGCCUGU
This is a long non-coding RNA of Betta splendens (Siamese fighting fish), 11110 nucleotides long. RefSeq lists it as uncharacterized. Lineage: Eukaryota; Metazoa; Chordata; Actinopteri; Anabantiformes; Osphronemidae. The record is from RefSeq and is a predicted model, not a curated record. The transcript has 3 exons.